UUUAAAUGUAAAUUUUUAUUAAAAUUAUUAUAAGUUAAGAUCUUUAAAAUUAAAAAUUUUGGCGGUAUUUUAGUCUUUUCAGAGGAACCUGUUUUUUAAUCGAUAAUCCACGAUAAUUUUUACUUUAUUUUUAAAUUUAUAUAUCGUUGUAGUUUGAAAAUUUUAAAAGAAUUUAAUUUUCAAUAUUUAAAAUUAUAAUAGAAUUCAGAUCAAGGUGUAGUUUAUAAUAAAGAUAAAAUGGGUUACAAUAAAUUUAUUUUUGGUAAUUAAUUUUGUAAUUUAAUUUAAAUUGGAUUUGAAAGUAAUUUUAUUAUUUUAAUAAGAUGAUUAUGCUCUAAAAUAUGC
Molecule: ribosomal RNA, 345 nt
Filed under: Mycetophagus sp. CO873
Lineage: Eukaryota; Metazoa; Arthropoda; Insecta; Coleoptera; Mycetophagidae
Description: partial 12S ribosomal RNA
Source: RNAcentral